Non-coding RNA from Podarcis lilfordi (Lilford's wall lizard), 77 nucleotides. The record is from the annotation of a GenBank genome assembly. NCBI's taxonomy places the organism in Eukaryota, Metazoa, Chordata, Lepidosauria, Squamata, Lacertidae.
GCCCUGAAGGAUAGCUCAGCCGGUAGAGCACGAGAUUCUGAAUCUUAGAGUCAUGGAUUCAAGUCCCAUGUUGGGCG